RNAcentral lists this microRNA precursor (101 nucleotides) under Patiria miniata (bat star). Its description in RNAcentral is "microRNA pmi-mir-125 precursor". Its record names the gene pmi-mir-125. The stretch from base 19 to 87 matches the Rfam family "lin-4 microRNA precursor family", at positions 1 to 71 of the family's 80-position model. From Rfam's summary of the family: The extents of the hairpin precursors are not generally known and are estimated based on hairpin prediction. The products are thought to have regulatory roles through complementarity to mRNA. Lineage: Eukaryota; Metazoa; Echinodermata; Asteroidea; Valvatida; Asterinidae. The record is from miRBase by way of RNAcentral.
CGUCAAAAUAUGCCCAGUUCUCAGUCCCUGAGACCCUAACUUGUGAUUGAGUGAACAGAACCACAUGUUAGUGUCUCAGGAAUUGGGCGCUGCGGUGAGCA